RNAcentral lists this long non-coding RNA (1114 nucleotides) under Anser cygnoides (Swan goose). RNAcentral's name for it is "lncRNA (ENSACDG00005006749.1)". The record is from RNAcentral. Lineage: Eukaryota; Metazoa; Chordata; Aves; Anseriformes; Anatidae.
CCCCAGCACCUUGCCCCCUAUAGCGUGGUGGCCUCCAACCCUGCGAGGACUGCCGUUAUUUUUAUUUUUAUUUUAUUUUUUUUUUUUUUUUGUCUAGCGAAAGACCUGUACCUCAAGGCGAGCGGGCCGCCUAAUUACAUAACUGUAACUCCGUAUCUCCGUGUUUCUACGUCUCCCUUUCCCCCCCCCCAGCCCACCCGCUGCUGGAGGAGGAUGCUGCGGCCGCGCGCGGAGCCAGGCCCCGGGCGCGCUUCUUGCUGGAAAACCCCGGAGCGAGGCCGUCAGCGUGUGGGGCUUGGUGCCACGGGCAGCCCGCCGCCGCCCCCGCGCCCAGGGGAUGAUGUAGAGGGCCAGGAGCGGCUGGGUGAUAGGGAGCAGCGGUCGCGCUAAGGCAAAACCAGGCAGGCGUCAGCGAAAACAACCCUUGUAGCUCAGUUUGGGGAACGAUAUUUUUGCUCUCAACACCGUACGAUGCUCUGCGUAGAGAAUCAAGUGUCUAAAGCGUGCCACAGGCAAGCCCUUCAACGCAGGAAUCUGAAAACCGUGGAGGAGUUGCCCGGAGUGGUUCCCAUGCUGCUGUGCAGUGGCGCGCAGCCGCUGCCAGGACAGAUUGAGUACAAGAUGGAGAUGAUCCUCCAAAGAUGCCUUUCACCAAAAAAAAAAAGCGCUCACUUUCUGCAGACAACCUCAUCGUGUUGGACCAGAGAUACUUCUUACCUUGGAAGAAAAGACAGGCUAUGGGCGCAGAUUGGGAAUUGGAAGACUCUCAAGAUAAAACAGAAUUGUCAUGUGGAGCUCCUUGUGAGGAAUCAGGCAAAAAUUCCUUUUCUGUUAGAGGGACCAAAGAGGCACCCUUUUCCCUCAAAGAGGGACCCUUUUUCUGUUCUUGAUUGCAGGUAAACCUACUAUUGGGGUUUUUAUGAGGGCAAUUCGUUGUAAGUUCUUAAUAACAGAUGUAUUUUUAUUUUAUUUUAUUUUUUUUAAUUCUAAAGCAAAAUGACCUUGGAUUAGCCACUUCCUGCCCCCUGAGGUGGCUGCAAAGAUGACUGAGUACUGCAGAACUUCCUAGGUUACCUAAAAUAAAGACUUAAUUUGACUGGGUAACUUCGUGGGU